Molecule: non-coding RNA, 1201 nt
Organism: Danio rerio (zebrafish)
Lineage: Eukaryota; Metazoa; Chordata; Actinopteri; Cypriniformes; Danionidae
Source: RefSeq, a predicted model, not a curated record
AGGUGCCCUUUGGUGAAAAUGAGGGACAUGAGAAUGCCAUCACACAGUCGGACGGAAGCUUCAACAGAGCCAGUGGGUGUACAGUUUAAAACAUCAUCAUUGUACACCGCAACCUUCUUCACCAAGUCCAGAUGAAACCGUACCAAGUGAGUUGUUGUCUCUGAUAAAGAAGAUGCGACCAGACAACUUAUCAUCAAUAAAGACUGCAAUCAAUCAAACCUUCAGUUACAGAAGAAGAUGGAUAACAACAAAAUCCCUUCAAAAUCUCUUGCUGAAAUCUUCAAGGACUAUCCCAGAUUUCUUGACAUGCCAGCUUUGAUGGACAUUGAAUUUUCCAAGCUCACAGAUAGGAACGAAGACUUGUUUAUCCAGAAAAGGGAAGGGACGAUAAUUCCAGAACUCAAAGAAAUAGCAUCUUGGAGAAGAAUAUUGACAUCAGACUCUUACUGAAGAUGGCUGACAAUCAGCAUGAUGAUGAGCUGUUAAACUGUUAAAGAUCCUUAUUCAUCUUCUUCCACCCACUGCCUCUGGGAGAAGUGUUGCUGGGAGUAAAUGCUGUGUGACUUCUGCUGUGUCCUACCUGUUGGAGCAAGUGCCGGCUGGUACCACCGUUACAUCUUUGCUCACUGAAUCCAUGAAAGGGACCCUGAAGUCAGCUCAGCCGCAGUUGGUUUCUAUUGGUUGUCUAGGACAUGGAUCCUUGUACGUGUACGUGUACUUGUAGCUGUGGCAAAGAAUGACUCUUUUGCUCUUCCACUCGAUCCUGAAAGCCUGACCUGUGCUGAAGACAGACUUUUCAAAUUCUUCUGGCUGUGCAAUCUUCAGUAUCCAUGCCAACUGUCUUCUGUUUUUUUUUUUUUUGAGUAUAUAUAUAUAUAUAUAUAUGACUUGUCCUUGUCCCAGUCAUCUUGCACACGAUCAAAGGUAAUGGAAUUAAUUGCUAAGGUGCAGUCUUGUACCUAAUUGAAAUAAGCAUGUACACCUAUCCAAAGUGUCUUUAAAAUGAUUUUGUAAUUUGGCGUUUAAGGGAAAUGCAUGCACUCUCUGAUAGUCACAACCUAACUUUAAUUUGUAGUCAAAAUCGUUGCCCUAGAACAUAUCAUAAUUUAAAUUCCUUUUUAAAACAUCUCAACAGAUCAUUUUAAAAUUAAUUCAUGCCCUUCUGAAGAGUCAGGACACACAGGGAACGAGAGUUUUAAGA